This 241-nucleotide long non-coding RNA is filed under the name Salvia miltiorrhiza (redroot sage). RNAcentral's name for it is "long non-coding RNA (SMIL_LNC013517)". The record is from RNAcentral. Lineage: Eukaryota; Viridiplantae; Streptophyta; Magnoliopsida; Lamiales; Lamiaceae.
AAGAAAGAGGAGCACCUGAAGUCUACAACAAAUGAGGGCAACAUGGUCUUUUCAUGGGCUAUUUUUGGGGAAACCUAGCUGCUACAUCUAGGAGGCAGCCGCAAUUGAGGGAAACAACACAGAAAACAAGAGGAAAUCGGGGAGAGCACGAGAGAGAGAGAAGGAGCACCUGAAAUUAAAGACAAUGACCAUAUUUUUGGAGGAAGAGAAGAAAGAAGCAGAGCACAUCAUUAAUCCUUAC